Molecule: long non-coding RNA, 1809 nt
Organism: Rhododendron vialii
Lineage: Eukaryota; Viridiplantae; Streptophyta; Magnoliopsida; Ericales; Ericaceae
Exons: 2
Source: RefSeq, a predicted model, not a curated record
UCUAUCUCCUCCACAGGUCUAUUUUCAUAGCAUUUUGUCUUGUCUUCUGGUUUGAAUUUGUGCAUUUUGUAUUAUCACUUACAUCAUUCUAAUGAUUACAUGGCCAAGAUUAAAUGAUGCAUUUGUGCAUACCAUACAUCUCUAUGUGUGAUUCUACCAAUUACAUGCCCAAUAGAAAAAGGUCUGUGGUUGUAUGGGGGAUUAUCCAUGGUAGGAUGGCCGCGGGUAGGGUAUGGGUCGGGGUACCAUAUUUUACUCCUCAAAUCUCCAAUUGGGGACUUCUUCCCCAUACCCGCCUUCAUACCCAAAAGGGAUGGUGGAAUCCACCAUACCUGCCUCCCAUUUGGGAUCCAGUAUAUUCAAGUGAAUCCAUAUCGAAACUACUUGAACAAGAAAGAACUUAAGGAUCUAAACUAAUACUUGAACAAGAAAGACCGAUAGGAUCUAAACUAAUACAAUUCAUCCCAUUUUUUCUCUGCCAAUACUCUUUCUCUACGAAUCCAAACUUGUCACUUUUGCAGGUUUUAAUCAGCUAAGGAAUGUUUUAUUCUGUGCAUAACAUACGUCAAAGAUGGUGAAUGUUAUUUUGUUGCAACCCAUCCAUUCUUUCUCUACCAAUACUCUUUAAGAUUUUGUGUAUCGUUCUUGUAUUUUGGCCGUUGCAAAGAUUUAUUCUUACAAAUAAAGAUCAAGCAUGGUCAUGCUUUGAUCUAGGGGUGUUACGAAACCCAACGGACCGAACUGAAAUCAGACCGAACCGACCGAUUAUGUGUUUUUAUAUAUUUUUAUAUAUUUCAGAUUAAUCUUGACCAUUCAUUUUAAUCUUGACCGUCCAUUGAAAACCCUAAAUCUCCUCUAUCUCCAACUCUCAUCUCAUCUAAUCUCAGAGAUCAGGCAGCCCAGCUCCUCUCCCCCCUCUCUGGCUCCUCUUUCCCCUUCUCUCCCAGUCACUCAUGGCCCCUCUCUUCGCCAGAUCGCAAUUCGCACCUCCCUCCUCCUCAGCUCCUCUCUUCUCCGCUGACCAUAUCAUCGUUUUGGCUGAGGUCAAUGUGUUAAUCGGAAAGAGGACAUGGGGACAAACAACAAUGUGAUAUUAAUUGUCGAUUUUUUAGAAGACUUGCUGUUUUAAUUUGGAGACUUGUUUAAUUUGGAUAUUUAUAGAAGAUGUGUUCUCGUGGAGUUCUUGCAUGGUUCAACAGGUGAACUAAACUAAUUUGGAAUGUUGGAUAUUAUACUUUUAUAGAGUUUCUGCUUUUUGGUGAAGAGAGUAACUGGGAAAAUGGUGUGGUGAAAUUUUUGGUAUUUUGGUUUGUUAAGUUUUGAGAAUUAGCUCUCUGGUUCUUAUUGUUGAACUUGAAAUUAACUCACCAGAAAAAAUAUGACUCUUGUUCAAUGGGCAUUCUUAGUAUUUGAAUUGGUGUUGGAUGAUGGAUUAUGGGCCUUGAUGAUGGAUCUUGAGUGAAAAAUGACUUUUGAAUUGGUGUUUGGUAGAAAAAACGGGUGGAUUUUCUUACAAUUAAUUAAUUUGGUCCACUUUCAAUUUUUUUUUGGGCCCAACUAGGCCCAAUUCGGUCAGACCGAAUUCCCCGACCGGACCGACUCCAUACCGAACCGAAGUGGACUGAUUGUAAUUUCGGUCGGGAUCGGUCCUAGCAAUAUUAUCCCCGAACCGAUUUGGUCUUGGUAAUAGUUGGACUGAACCGAACGAACCCGAACCGAAAUCACCUCUACUUUGAUCCUAUGGGUGUGGUCCGUGUGGAUAUUGUUUUAGAGAUAUGAUACAUCAAUUUCUGAAGAACAGCCCCUGCA